Cinara cedri is the source of this 212-nucleotide non-coding RNA. The record is from the annotation of a GenBank genome assembly. Lineage: Eukaryota; Metazoa; Arthropoda; Insecta; Hemiptera; Aphididae.
GUAAGUUGGAAGGUAGGACGUAUAGAGGGAUUUAAUUUAUGUGUCCGUAUGUAACGAUAAACUAUUGUUAACCAAUUCUGAGUAUUAAUGUAGUUCGUACUUUUUCCCUCGUCACCGAAGUAACCCGGAAAUCAACAAUAACUCCACGGAAAAUUGUCAGUUUUUGCCCAUAUAUUAGGAAUCCUUCGAGGAAAAUUAAAAAAAAAAAAAAC